GUCCUCAAUGUGGGGUCCUUGAAGGGAUUCCAUGGGGUCCCCAACAAAAAGGGGAAUCAUUUAUUUUCACUAUAAUUUCAUCCAUAAGUAACACAAUGACAGGUUGUAUGACUAUUUUGCUCAUGGGUUUCAUUCACUUUCUGUAGUAAAACAUCUAAAAGCCAAAAUUCUAACAAUUUGUUUCAACUUUGG
Etheostoma spectabile (orangethroat darter) is the source of this 192-nucleotide long non-coding RNA. RefSeq lists it as uncharacterized. NCBI's taxonomy places the organism in Eukaryota, Metazoa, Chordata, Actinopteri, Perciformes, Percidae. The record is from RefSeq and is a predicted model, not a curated record. The transcript is spliced from 3 exons.